This 497-nucleotide ribosomal RNA is filed under the name uncultured bacterium. RNAcentral's name for it is "partial 16S ribosomal RNA". It matches the Rfam family "Bacterial small subunit ribosomal RNA", at positions 28 to 507 of the family's 1533-position model. The record is from RNAcentral.
GAUGAACGCUGGCGGCGUGCCUAAUACAUGCAAGUCGAGCGAACGGACGAGAAGCUUGCUUCUCUGAUGUUAGCGGCGGACGGGUGAGUAACACGUGGAUAACCUACCUAUAAGACUGGGAUAACUUCGGGAAACCGGAGCUAAUACCGGAUAAUAUUUUGAACCGCAUGGUUCAAAAGUGAAAGACGGUCUUGCUGUCACUUAUAGAUGGAUCCGCGCUGCAUUAGCUAGUUGGUAAGGUAACGGCCUACCAAGGCAACGAUGCAUAGCCGACCUGAGAGGGGGAUCGGCCACACUGGAACGGAGACACGGUCCAGACUCCUAAGGGAGGCAGCAGUAGGGAAUCUGCCGCAAUAGGCGAAAACCUGGCGGAGCAACGGCGCGUGAGUGAUGGAGGUCUUCGGAUCGUAAAACUCUGUUAUUAGGGAAGAACAUAUGUGUAAGUAACUGUGCACAUCUUGACGGUACCUAAUCAGAAAGCCACGGCUAACUACGUG